RNAcentral lists this ribosomal RNA (720 nucleotides) under uncultured Staphylococcus sp. Its description in RNAcentral is "bacterial SSU rRNA". It matches the Rfam family "Bacterial small subunit ribosomal RNA", at positions 61 to 763 of the family's 1533-position model. The record is from RNAcentral. Lineage: Bacteria; Bacillati; Bacillota; Bacilli; Caryophanales; Staphylococcaceae.
GUCGAGCGAACAGACGAGGAGCUUGCUUCUCUGACGUUAGCGGCGGACGGGUGAGUAACACGUGGAUAACCUACCUAUAAGACUGGGAUAACUUCGGGAAACCGGAGCUAAUACCGGAUAAUAUAUUGAACCGCAUGGUUCAAUAGUGAAAGACGGUUUUGCUGUCACUUAUAGAUGGAUCCGCGCCGCAUUAGCUAGUUGGUAAGGUAACGGCUUACCAAGGCAACGAUGCGUAGCCGACCUGAGAGGGUGAUCGGCCACACUGGAACUGAGACACGGUCCAGACUCCUACGGGAGGCAGCAGUAGGGAAUCUUCCGCAAUGGGCGAAAGCCUGACGGAGCAACGCCGCGUGAGUGAUGAAGGUCUUCGGAUCGUAAAACUCUGUUAUUAGGGAAGAACAAAUGUGUAAGUAACUAUGCACGUCUUGACGGUACCUAAUCAGAAAGCCACGGCUAACUACGUGCCAGCAGCCGCGGUAAUACGUAGGUGGCAAGCGUUAUCCGGAGUUAUUGGGCGUAAAGCGCGCGUAGGCGGUUUUUUAAGUCUGAUGUGAAAGCCCACGGCUCAACCGUGGAGGGUCAUUGGAAACUGGAAAACUUGAGUGCAGAAGAGGAAAGUGGAAUUCCAUGUGUAGCGGUGAAAUGCGCAGAGAUAUGGAGGAACACCAGUGGCGAAAGCGACUUUCUGGUCUGUAACUGACGCUGAUGUGCGAAAGCGUG